GUUUAUCUGGCACAAGUAAUCACAUCAGGGAAACUCCCUCUCCUCCCCCCCCUCCUCCCUGCAGCAAGGAGAAAACACAGGCUGCAUGCAGCAGCACAAAGCUGAAACUAUCGUGUUGCUGUAGCCGAAAACUUUCUCAAAUUAGCCAGGCAUCUCCAGCAGCAGAAGGACAAAAUAUGCACUCUUCAUUGCAGAUGUUUCACUGCUAUCCCGACUAUUUUGUUCGGGGAAUACAGAGCAUUCAAAAUGCAGAUGCAUUGCAGUCAACUGGGAGCAAUCUGCUGCAACAGCUUAGGCUGCUGCUCUGUCGCUUCCCCAAACAGGAAACCACAAAGCAUUGGAGACUGAGGUCGCUGGGUCAUUAGGAGAGGCACAUAGGUUUGUCUGCAAAGUAUUAUCCUGUGCUAGAAGUAGGCCAGGAUAGAACAACAAAAAAACUGUUAAAAACACAAAAGGCAUUGAGAUGGAAGAGUAAAACUUUCUCUGCAUUAAGCAGAGAGCCUGAAACAACCUCCAGCUGUUGCUGCUAGGGUAUAACUGAAAACUCACAAGAAGAUGUGACUUGUGUGCAUUCUUUAGCCAGUUACCUGCUUUCCCAGGCCAUAAAUCAGCGUGGAAGGAUGCACUGUAAUUUCCUCUUGCUGCCUGCACUUAUUUUCAACAGCAGACUUACCCUGUAGACACAUUUCAAAACCCUUUAUGCCAAUGGUUCUGAAUUUGAAAUUCUUUGUUUAUGCUCCAGCAAACUUAACUUUGCAAACACAAGGGGUAGGAAGUAUGUAUUUGUGCAUGAGGCAGAGGGAGGACAAAAGCUUAUCAUCACUGGAGUCCCGAGCUCCGUGCUUUCAGAAAAAUAAAAAUAAAAAUCAUCCUAUUGGACCCUGCAGCAGUUCAAGGCAAAAUGGGGAUUUCCUGGUUCUGCAGCAAAAGCUAACUCCUCCUACAGUGGAACAAUUUUGAAAAGCAUGUGAAGAACCAUGAGAUUUUCUGCUGAAAGGAAGAUGAUCAGACCUCCAGUAGUCUUUUUUCCUCUGUUUCAGUGGCUCUAGGCCAUAAAGCAAGUUUCUACUGUGAAAGUCUGGAAUAAAUCUAAAUCCCUUUUGCUUCA
RNAcentral lists this long non-coding RNA (1108 nucleotides) under Anser brachyrhynchus (Pink-footed goose). Its description in RNAcentral is "lncRNA (ENSABRG00000009991.1)". Lineage: Eukaryota; Metazoa; Chordata; Aves; Anseriformes; Anatidae. The record is from RNAcentral.